UUGUGACAAAUAGAAGAAAGACGUGAGUUGUUUGGAUACAGUCUGUCGAAUCUAAGAUAACACCUCAGACUAUGAUUUGUACGUACCUCUCGUGCAUGUUUGCGUUGAUUCUUUCGCUGUGGACGGAUAUCUCGAGAGGCCAGUGCCCAGAAAAGUGUUAUUGCAAUGGAAAUCAGGUAGAAUGCAGAGGACAACUACUGUCGACCAUACCCCUUUCUCUGUCCAACGCUACAACGCACUUGGAUUUAUUGAACAACACGAUAGAAUUUCUACCCGACGAUGCUUUCAUUGGAUUGCCUGAUCUACUGCGUCUG
Dreissena polymorpha is the source of this 314-nucleotide long non-coding RNA. RefSeq lists it as uncharacterized. The record is from RefSeq and is a predicted model, not a curated record. The transcript has 3 exons. NCBI's taxonomy places the organism in Eukaryota, Metazoa, Mollusca, Bivalvia, Myida, Dreissenidae.